UGACCUGGGAGGAGGGGCCGACAGGGGGACAAAGGCCGCGAUGGCAAGGGCAGGUCUGAGGAUGGGCACAUCAGGGACAACUGACCAGCAGAGAGAGGACAGUGCCUGCAGGUGACAGCAGGGGAUGCCGGCGGAGGUGGCGAGGCCCAGGCUUCUGAGUGGCCAGCUGGGCCUGAAGGUGCCUCAGGGACUGGGGGGCCGGCUGUCUCCCGGGGCUGCCGCUCCAGCCAGGACCCCUCCCUCCGCAUCCUGGACUGAGGGCUGGAGAGUGACAGGCUGUGGACUGAGGGCUGGAGAGGUGAGGCCCCGGGGGAGACAGCGUGACCCAGGCAGCGGGAAGGAAGGACAGGCCCAUUUCAGUGGCCCAAGGGGACUUGGGGCGGCUGCCUACGUGGGUGCCCCCCCUCCCCCGCUGCUUGGCCCCGGGCGGGUGUGCGGCCAGUUCAGACAAGGGAUUCUGCAGGCCGGUGUGCCAGGGCUCCCACCGGCCGGCCGGCCCCUGCGGGCCUCAAAAGGGACCCUCAGGAACCAGGGCUGCCCUCUGGCCUGUGCAGGGGCGAGGGGGUGUUGCCAGGCCCUGGAAGGUGCAGGCAGCAGAGUCGGAGAAGCUCAGCGCCUACCUGAGGCCCAGGCCCCGGGGCAGCGGUAGUGGGCGAGGCUGGGGCUCCUGCAGCUCCGGCUUCUGGAGGGUGAAGCUGAGGGGUCUCAGGUCAGAGAGCCAGCCUGGCCCCUCCUGCCGGCCCCCUCGCGGGCCAGGCAAAAACCCUACCAGCUUCCUGCUCCAAACCUGGCAAGCGGAGACACAGACCCUCUGCUGGGGACUAGUGUCCCUCACUGUGCCGCGCGAGCUGAUGACCCUGUGACCCCUGGUGGCAGCCUGGCCCUCUGGUUGGUCAAAGGGUCCCAGUAAGACUCAAAGGCUGAUAAAUAACUCCAGGUGCCUGGCCCCCGGGGGUAGGGGUAGAGGAGAGAGGGGGCUCCCCCUGCCCGUGCCCAGCAGCCCUGCCCCCAAAGACCUCUACCUGUCAUUGCCAGGGAGGUCAAAUAACCAUCCACUGACCCCUGACCCAGCCUCUCUGCCCUCAAAUGGAGGAGGGGACCAGAGAAGAAGGGUCAGGGUGGGGGCAAAAAAGGAGGAGGGGAAGAAGGAGAAAAGGACAGAGAGGAAAAGAAGUCAAGUGGGAGGAGGUGCAUAAGGGAAAGGGGAGGGGAGGAGGGGUGAGGGAGGAGGGAGGGGAGGAGAGCGGGAGAAGGGGAGGAGGGAAAGGAGAGGAGCACGGAGAGGGAGGAGGGGGAGGAGAGGGAGGAGGGGUGAGGGAGGAGGGAGGGGAGGAG
RNAcentral lists this long non-coding RNA (1335 nucleotides) under Felis catus (domestic cat). Its description in RNAcentral is "lncRNA (ENSFCAG00000049581.1)". Lineage: Eukaryota; Metazoa; Chordata; Mammalia; Carnivora; Felidae. The record is from RNAcentral.